AGCUUAACUCUGGAACUGCCAUCAAAACUUUUCAGCUAGAGUAUGAUAGAGGAAAGCAGAAUUUCUAGUGUAGAGGUGAAAUUCGUAGAUAUUAGAAAGAAUACCAAUUGCGAAGGCAGCUUUCUGGAUCAUUACUGACACUGAGGAACGAAAGCAUGGGUAGCGAAGAGGAUUAGAUACCCUCGUAGUCCAUGCCGUAAACGAUGUGUGUUAGACGUUGGAAAUUUAUUUUCAGUGUCGCAGCGAAAGCGAUAAACACACCGCCUGGGGAGUACGACCGCAAGGUUAAAACUCAAAUGAAUUGACGGGGACCCGCACAAGUAGUGGAGCAUGUGGUUUAAUUCGAAGAUACGCGCAGAACCUUACCAACACUUGACAUGUUCGUCGCGACUUUAAGAGAUUAAAGUUUUCGGUUCGGCCGGACGAAACACAGGUGCUGCAUGGCUGUCGUCAGCUCGUGUCGUGAGAUGUUGGGUUAAGUCCCGCAACGAGCGCAACCCUCACUUUUAGUUGCCAUCAUUUAGUUGGGCACUCUGAAAGAACUGCCAGUGAUAAGCUGGAGGAAGGUGGGGAUGACGUCAAGUCCUCAUGGCCCUUACGUGUUGGGCUACACACGUGCUACAAUGGUAUCUACAACAGGAAGCAAGACGGCGACGUUUAGCAAAUCCUUAAAAGAUACCUCAGUUCGGAUUGCACUCUGCAACUCGAGUGCAUGAAGCUGGAAUUACUAGUAAUCGUGGAUCAGCGUGCCACGGUGAAUGCGUUCCCGGGUCUUGUACACACCGCCCGUCACACCAUGGGAGUUGGUUCUACCUUAAGGCAAGGUUUCAAACCCUUGACCACGGUAUAGUCAG
This 854-nucleotide ribosomal RNA is filed under the name marine metagenome. RNAcentral describes it as "bacterial SSU rRNA". It matches the Rfam family "Bacterial small subunit ribosomal RNA", at positions 606 to 1471 of the family's 1533-position model. The record is from RNAcentral.